UACCAGCACCCCGAGUGGUCGGGACGUUUAUUGGGCCUAAAGCAUCCGUAGCCGGUUCUACAAGUCUUCCGUUAAAUCCACCUGCUUAACAGAUGGACUGCGGAAGAUACUAUAGAGCUAGGAGGCGGGAGAGGCAAGCGGUACUCGAUGGGUAGGGGUAAAAUCCGUUGAUCCAUUGAAGACCACCAGUGGCGAAGGCGGCUUGCCAGAACGCGCUCGACGGUGAGGGAUGAAAGCUGGGGGAGCAAACCGG
This 253-nucleotide ribosomal RNA is filed under the name uncultured bacterium. Its description in RNAcentral is "partial 16S ribosomal RNA". It matches the Rfam family "Archaeal small subunit ribosomal RNA", at positions 474 to 727 of the family's 1478-position model. The record is from RNAcentral.